This is a long non-coding RNA of Mauremys reevesii (Reeves's turtle), 1023 nucleotides long. RefSeq lists it as uncharacterized. The record is from RefSeq and is a predicted model, not a curated record. The transcript is spliced from 3 exons. NCBI's taxonomy places the organism in Eukaryota, Metazoa, Chordata, Testudines, Geoemydidae.
UCCCUCCCCGACAGGAGGGAGGUGUGUUGGAGAUAACAGGGUUUAGUAAGGAGCCAUGGGGAGCAGAAGCAGCUUGGAUGGGUGGUAAACCCAGAGGAUAGAAGUAGGGAGUAGACCAGAGCCCAGGGAAGUAGUAACCAGCUCUGGGAGUAAGUAGACCAUAGUUAUGGAGCUUAGGGUCCCUGAGCUGGAACCUGGAGCAGAGGGUGGGCCUGGCUUCCCCUACUAGCCACUGGGAAAGUGGCACAGGCUGUGGACAGAGGUUUGCCUGGAACAAUAGGUGGACAGCUUGUCCUGAGAGACUUUGAUGGACCCUGGAAAGGGAGGACUGUAGUGACCUGGCCCUCUGGCCCCAAAGAGGGAGCCAGGAAGUCUCUUCCCCACCCCCCCAAAAAAAAGGCUGCCCUGAGUCCUGGAGGUUGAGACUGAGCCAACAAGCUGAGCAAAGUAGGAAGGAGCAUCUGACCAUUGGUGAGCUAAUCCCCAGAAAGAAAGUUAGCUCCCACUACUAUCUUUGUCCACUGGGCAAGGAUAGACACUGCACUGACACGGGGAGUGAGAGACCAGAACCAGAACUCAACCCCCAGGCCUCCUGCACUCCAGCACAGAGAGUUAUUUCAGCAGGAGCUUGGUGACUUUCCGAUGCUAACUCCCACCAGAGACGUGGUUCAAUAAACACAAUCCAAUCUCCAGUGUGGAUGGAGUUUAAUAUCAAGCUUCAAUGGUCUCUGCCCAUGAGUAAUCUUUUAUUCCAAUCCUGUCUCUCCAAGGAUUAAGGAUCCAAUUGGAAAAAGGGCAGUGGUACUCUUCCAUGAAACAGGGUCCACCCACUGGAGAUACCAAGAUGAUGUGUCACUCACAGUAGAUUAUCCAGAUAUUCAAGAUAUGAUCUCUGCUGAGUUCCUUGGGCUUAGUUUCUCCAUAGCCGGCUCAGAUGUCCUGCUGGGCUCUGCAAGGCCCCUUGUGUUUCCCUCCUUUUUGAGAAGGGAAUCAUAAGAGUGGUACUAUCAUCCAAGCACCAGC